Long non-coding RNA from Sparus aurata (gilthead seabream), 2242 nucleotides. Lineage: Eukaryota; Metazoa; Chordata; Actinopteri; Spariformes; Sparidae. The record is from Ensembl.
AGGGCCGGCUGCCCCUCCAGGAGCAGCAGAUUACAAACGUCACCUUGUUAAAACCAAGUCUAAGUUGUGUCUGGAGGAGCAGCCCUCCCUGCUGACACCCGGCCUGUCCACUCUGCCAAGCCCAGAGACACAGCUGCAAACUGAAGGAGUCGCUGUGUUUACUGGGGAAAGUUCAGCUGGUGGUCCCUGUAUCACCACCAGCAACACACACACCAGCACACAUGUAUAAAUACUCACUAUGUUGAAAGCCACAUGUGUAGGUUAGGCUGUAAUCUCUGUGUAGAAUCUACUGACAACCAUAAAUCAGCCUCAACAGUCGCUCUUUGUUGUGAUUCUCCUGUUCAGAGCCAGUAAGACUGUCGUCCUCCAGCUGCUGUCCCUGGUUCCUGUGAACAGAGACAGAGACACAGUGAGACGGGCGGUGUCCCUGUGUGGAGCCCUGGGUGGAGAACUGGACCUCAGUCACACCACACUGGAUCAGAGGUCCUGUGGAGCUUUGGCUCAGCUGCUGGACGUCUCUGAAGGGCUGACAGAACUGGACCUGAGUCACUGUGAGCUCACUGACCAGCUGCUGCUCUCACUCCUCACACAUCUGCACAAAGUCCAAGUCCUGGAUCUGAGUCACAAUAAGAUCACUGAUGCUUCAGCUGACAUGUUACUUGAACUGGUCGCCAUCAACCCCUCCAUGGACACUGUGCGGUGAGCAUACAUGAAUCAAUGUUCCAUCAUUUAUUCAGACGUUUGUGCUUCAUCCUCUCAGGUUAGUGAAGUUAAUACUGUUCCACAUGUUACUGUGGCUGAGUGAGUGAUGUUUCUCUGCUCUGGUCUUUUUCUAGACUCUUCAGGAACAACAUUAAGGACACAACUUCUUUUAAGGAACACACGCAGUUUGAAAUCUGGUGAAUCAGCCGUCAGUGUGGUGGUGAUGUGCUGAUCAGGGAAUCAUUGAUGUCUCAUGAUGGUUAGAUGAUGAUGUGUUACUGUUUUGGUGGUGGAUAGUUUAUAAUACGGUACCAUCAUGUUCCACACGAUGAUCUCUGCUUCACAGAUGAGAACAUCAUGACUCUCGCUCUUUUUUAUAGAUUGAUUCAGACGGCAGCUUGUCUGGAGGCCGACAGCAGCCAGCAGUGUUUACAGUCAUUAUCUGGAGAUGACGACUCUUCUCUUGUUCAUCAGAUACUGUAGAUUCUUCUUUAAUGUGUUCAUAUUUAUGUGAUAACUCUCAGGUUUCACACAUCAGAUUGUUCUGUUGGGUCCACGAUUACAUUCUGUUUUUAUUAUAACAAAACAAAUAGAGGCCAUAACUGUUACUUGGUUUUAUGAGUUGGCCUAAUUUAUCAUUUUGUAUUUUGUUAUAUUAACUUUUACUUUGUGAAAUUAUAUUUGUGUAUUUUGUGAUGAAUGUUGAGUUCAGUGUGGAGAAGAAAGACUAUAAUGACGUCUCAGAGUAAUGAUGCAAUAAAGGUGCUUUCAGGAUCAAAUCAUGUUCGGUACAUCGAGAUAACAGUAAAUUAUCUCAAGAAAAUCAUCUUCAGAAUGUAAAUAUGAGUUUUGUUUUUAUUUCACAUUUUAAAUUAAGUGAUUCUGAGUUACUGUUCCAGAGAGAGACCAGGUUGUAGGAACCCAGCCCAUGCUGUUCUUCUCGCAGGAGGCCCGGCUGUGGGUCUGCGUGACCUCCCCCCUCCUCGUGAACCUUUGGUGUCCUUUAUCACGAGGGUCUGCUUCCCCUUUUCUAAUUCUCUCCCCUCUCAACCUCAUGACAAAAUCAUCUCUUAUAUUAUAAACUGUGACUUUACAACAAAAGCCUAUCUGUGGACUAACUAUCCCUUCACCCAAUUUCCGGUUAGAAGGACAAGAGCCAUACGUCAAAGAUAGCCACCAGCAUCUGACUGUCCCAUGUCACCGUGAAAUCAAGGAUCGUAAAAGACAGCCAUAAACAUUUCCAUACCAGCAGAAGUGAAAAGAGUCCUGAUCUCUUUCCUAAUCCAAGAAAGAUACCAAGCUAUAGUCUAACCUUUGCCUUAAUGAUAUUUUUUUCAACAGCUGGACCAGACAUACGUUUUGAUAUGUUUACUAUCUUCCUGAUGUAAUCCUAAACCAAGUUAUAAGUUUCUGUAUUAAUACCUGAAUAAGUGAUGGAGCCACAGUGCCACCUUGUGGUAAACUUCGGUAUAGUUCCCAGAGGACUUUCUUAAGUAAUGUAAUCCAUAAUCUUGGUUAUCUAUACUCUUCUCUUACUUCC